GUCAGGUGUGGUGAUGCACACCUGUAAUCCCAGCUACUCAGGAGGCUGAGGCAGGAGGAUUGCAAAUUUGAGACCAACCUGGGCAACAUAACAAGACCUUUUUGUCUCAA
Molecule: small RNA, 110 nt
Filed under: Marmota monax (woodchuck)
Lineage: Eukaryota; Metazoa; Chordata; Mammalia; Rodentia; Sciuridae
Source: RNAcentral